UGUGGCCCUUAUCGAAGCUGUAGCUGCUUCCACAUAGCUGCUGUGGUCAAAAAAGGAGCCUAGAGUGACAGUUUUCCUUGACGGUCGCUGUUCUGUUUGCUGUAACUGAUCUGCAACAUUUCAGGAAAAGACAGUU
This is a small nucleolar RNA of Balaenoptera musculus (blue whale), 136 nucleotides long. The record is from Ensembl. NCBI's taxonomy places the organism in Eukaryota, Metazoa, Chordata, Mammalia, Artiodactyla, Balaenopteridae.